RNAcentral lists this ribosomal RNA (496 nucleotides) under uncultured bacterium. Its description in RNAcentral is "partial 16S ribosomal RNA". It matches the Rfam family "Bacterial small subunit ribosomal RNA", at positions 28 to 506 of the family's 1533-position model. The record is from RNAcentral.
GAUGAACGCUGGCGGCGUGCCUAAUACAUGCAAGUCGAGCGAACAGACGAGGAGCUUACUCCUCUGACGUUAGCGGCGGACGGGUGAGUAACACGUGGAUAACCUACCUAUAAGACUGGGAUAACUUCGGGAAACCGGAGCUAAUACCGGAUAACAUGUUGAACCGCAUGGUUCAACAGUGAAAGACGGUCUUGCUGUCACUUAUAGAUGGAUCCGCGUCGCAUUAGCUAGUUGGUAAGGUAACGGCUUACCAAGGCAACGAUGCGUAGCCGACCUGAGAGGGUGAUCGGCCACACUGGAACUGAGACACGGUCCAGAAUCCGACGGGAGGCAGCAGUAGGGAAUCUUCCGCAAUGGGCGAAAGCCUGACGGAGCAACGCCGCGUGAGUGAAGAAGGUCUUCGGAUCGUAAAACUCGGUUAUUAGGGAAGAACAAAUGUGUAAGUAACUAUGCACGUCUUGACGGUACCUAAGCAGAAAGCCACGGCUAACUACGU